This 205-nucleotide long non-coding RNA is filed under the name Lathyrus oleraceus (garden pea). RNAcentral's name for it is "Pisum sativum (pea) long non-coding RNA (PSAT_LNC017708)". Lineage: Eukaryota; Viridiplantae; Streptophyta; Magnoliopsida; Fabales; Fabaceae. The record is from RNAcentral.
ACACCUUCCAGUUGGUUGACAGAAAUCUCCUGAGGCACGUAAGCCAUAUUCAGCAUCUUCAGUAAGGCGUUACGAUGUGCCUCAGAGCACAGCAGCAAAGAGAGUAUCGAGAUUUUGGACGGAGUCUGGUUAAGCUGAUCUACAAUCUUGUAGUCACUCUUCUUGAUAAUCUUCAUGAACUCCUCCACAUCCUUCUCAAAUGAAC